RNAcentral lists this transfer RNA (72 nucleotides) under Chryseobacterium sp. ZHDP1. Its description in RNAcentral is "tRNA-Tyr". It matches the Rfam family "tRNA". Rfam says of the family: Transfer RNA (tRNA) molecules are approximately 80 nucleotides in length. Their secondary structure includes four short double-helical elements and three loops (D, anti-codon, and T loops). The record is from RNAcentral. Lineage: Bacteria; Pseudomonadati; Bacteroidota; Flavobacteriia; Flavobacteriales; Weeksellaceae.
GGCAAAUUGCCCGAGUGGUUAAGGGAGCCGGUUGUAACCCGGAUGACAGGAGUUCGAAUCUUCUAUUUGCCU